AGGGCAAGUCUGGUGCCAGCAGCCGCGGUAAUUCCAGCUCCAAUAGCGUAUAUUAAAGUUGUUGCAGUUAAAAAGCUCGUAGUUGAAUUUCGGGGUUAGUAGGUUGGUCAUGCCACUGGUAUGUACUGAUCUUACUGAUUCCUCCUUCCUGAUGAACCGUAAUGCCAUUAAUUUGGUGUUGCGGGGAGACUGGACUGUUACUUUGAAAAAAUUAGAGUGUUUAAAGCAGGCUAACGCUUGAAUACAUUAGCAUGGAAUAAUGAAAUAGGACGUUCGAUCCUAUUUUGUUGGUUUCUAGGAUUGACGUAAUGAUUAAUAGGGAUAGUUGGGGGCAUUAGUAUUCAAUUGUCAGAGGUGAAAUUCUUGGAUUUAUUGAAGACUAACUACUGCGAAAGCAUUUGCCAAGGAUGUUUUCAUUAAUCAAGAACGAAAGUUAGGGGAUCGAAGGCGAUCAGAUACCGUCGUAGUCUUAACCAUAAACUAUGCCGACUAGGGAUCGGAUGAUGUUAAUUUUUUAAUGACUCAUUCGGCGCCUUACGGGAA
RNAcentral lists this ribosomal RNA (543 nucleotides) under uncultured Glomeromycotina. Its description in RNAcentral is "SSU rRNA". It matches the Rfam family "Eukaryotic small subunit ribosomal RNA", at positions 552 to 1096 of the family's 1831-position model. Lineage: Eukaryota; Fungi; Glomeromycota. The record is from RNAcentral.